CAAUUAUUAAUGUCUUCAAGUUUCCCACUAAGCAAAGCUAGAGAGAGAGAGUGGAAGUAGUUCUGUUUGGCUUCAAGACUUUCGAAACCCUUCCUAUAUAUAAGCUUCAAGUUUCCACAACCAUGCUAUAUCUAACUAGACAAGAGUGGUACUCUCUCUCUCUCUCUCUCUCUCUCUCUCUCAAGGGUGGUGCUGGCGGCUGCUCAGCUUUUGAUCUGUCUUGUAAGUAACCUGCUUAUCCAUUCCUCCUGUUAAUUAGUUUUUGAUCUGUCUCUCAAAACUCCCACACUUAUUCUUUGAUGGUCCGUUGACAAAUUUCAUAUCGAUUCUUGUGAUCUGGCGGCAAAUUUUGACCUAUAGUGUGAAAGUUUGCAUGCAUAUUCUUCAAGAUUUUUGUUUUCCUUGUGUCUGGAUAUUUACCUUAUUAAUUAUUUGUACGGACAUGAUUCAUGCUCUUUUGCUUUUUCACUUCCAUUAUCUGUAUUUGUUUUUAUUGAUCCUCGAGUCCCUCCCUGUGUAAAUCUUGUGCGAUUCAUGGGUAAACAAUGAGUGGAACUUAGUUAUCCAUGUACGUAUCAUCAAAAUAGGAAGCCGAAUAGAAGAAGCAGAGGAACGACUAAACUUGAU
This 627-nucleotide long non-coding RNA is filed under the name Prunus dulcis (almond). RNAcentral describes it as "sRNA ncRNA". Lineage: Eukaryota; Viridiplantae; Streptophyta; Magnoliopsida; Rosales; Rosaceae. The record is from RNAcentral.